AAUAUUGGACAAUGGGCGAAAGCCUGAUCCAGCCAGGCCGCGUGUGUGAAUAAGGCCUUCGGAUUGUAAAGCACUUUAAGUUGGGAGGAAGGGUGGUAGAUUAAUACUCUGCACUUUUGACGUUACCAACAGAAUAAGCACCGGCUAACUUCGUGCCAGCAGCCGCGGUAAUACGAAGGGUGCAAGCGUUAAGCGGAAUUACGGGGCGUAAGGCGCGCGUAGGUGGUUUGCCAAGUUGGAGAUGAAAGCCCCGGGCUCAACCUGGGAACUGCUUUCAAAACUGCUGAGCUAGAGUACGGUAGAGGGUAGUGGAAUUUCCUGUGUAGCGGUGAAAUGCGUAGAUAUAGGAAGGAACACCAGUGGCGAAGGCGACUACCUGGACUGAUACUGACACUGAGGUGCGAAAGCGUGGGGAGCAAAC
RNAcentral lists this ribosomal RNA (421 nucleotides) under uncultured bacterium. Its description in RNAcentral is "partial 16S ribosomal RNA". It matches the Rfam family "Bacterial small subunit ribosomal RNA", at positions 360 to 773 of the family's 1533-position model. The record is from RNAcentral.